GGUAAGAUGGCUGAGUUUAUAGGCAAUAAAUUGUAAAUUUAUCAACGAAAGGUUUUUCUCUUACCA
Molecule: transfer RNA, 66 nt
Filed under: Platychile pallida
Lineage: Eukaryota; Metazoa; Arthropoda; Insecta; Coleoptera; Carabidae
Description: tRNA-Tyr
Rfam family: tRNA
About the family: Transfer RNA (tRNA) molecules are approximately 80 nucleotides in length.
Source: RNAcentral